Non-coding RNA from Arvicanthis niloticus (Nile rat), 156 nucleotides. NCBI's taxonomy places the organism in Eukaryota, Metazoa, Chordata, Mammalia, Rodentia, Muridae. The record is from RefSeq and is a predicted model, not a curated record.
AUACUUACCUGGCUGGGGAAAUACCAUGAUCUCAAAUUGGUUUUCCAGAAUGAUGCUCAUCCAUUUGACUGGAAAUAUGCUGAAUCCUGUGAUUUCCCCAAACUCAGGAAACUCAACUGCAUUAUUUGUAAUAAUGGGGAACUAUGUUAAAGCUUA